AAGUCGAGGGGCAGCAUGGUUUGUAGUAAUACAGAUUGAUGGCGACCGGCGCACGGGUGAGUAACGCGUAUGCAACCUGCCCUUCACAGGGGGAUAACCGGGAGAAAUUCCGACUAAUACCGCAUACGUCCUUUGGGGGCAUCCCCGGGGGAUGAAAGAGUUAUCGGUGAAGGAUGGGCAUGCGUGAUAUUAGGUAGUUGGCGGGGCAACGGCCCACCAAGCCUACGAUAUCUAGGGGUUCUGAGAGGAAGGUCCCCACAUUGGUACUGAGACACGGACCAAACUCC
This 287-nucleotide ribosomal RNA is filed under the name uncultured bacterium. RNAcentral's name for it is "partial 16S ribosomal RNA". It matches the Rfam family "Bacterial small subunit ribosomal RNA", at positions 59 to 339 of the family's 1533-position model. The record is from RNAcentral. RNAcentral also lists the same sequence under 1 other name.